Non-coding RNA from Triticum urartu, 135 nucleotides. NCBI's taxonomy places the organism in Eukaryota, Viridiplantae, Streptophyta, Magnoliopsida, Poales, Poaceae. The record is from Rfam.
AAAGUGCUCCCUCUGUCCCGAAAUUCUUGUCUUAGAUUUGUCUAGAUACGGAUGUAUCAAGUCACAUUUUAGUAUUAGAUACAUCCGUAUCUAGACAAAUCUAAGACAAGAAAUUUGGGACAGAGGAAGUAGUUG